GAUAAACGCUAGCGGCGUGCCUUAUGCAUGCAAGUCGAACGGUCUCGAUUUAUCGAGAUAGUGGCGAACGGGUGAGUAACGCGUAAGUAACCUGCCCCUAAGUAGGGGAUAACUCUGAGAAAUUAGAGCUAAUACUGUAUGUGGUGGUGGGGGUAAUGCUUCAUCACUAAAGCCUUAGGGCGCUUAGGGAGGGGCUUGCGUCCGAUUAGCUAGUUGGUAGGGUAAUGGUUUACCAAGGCGAUGAUCGGUAGCUGGUUUGAGAGGACAUCCAGCCACACUGGGAUUGAGAUACGGCCCAGACUCCUACGGGAGGCAGCAGCAAGGAAUUUUGUGCAAUGGGCGAAAGCCUGACACAGCGACGCCGCGUGGGGGAUGAAGGCCUUCGGGUUGUAAACCCCUUUUCUCAGGGAAGAAUAAUGACGGUACCUGGGGAAUAAGUCUUGGCUAACUACGUG
Molecule: ribosomal RNA, 455 nt
Filed under: uncultured bacterium
Lineage: Bacteria
Description: bacterial SSU rRNA
Rfam family: Bacterial small subunit ribosomal RNA
Source: RNAcentral